This is an RNA transcript of Dunckerocampus dactyliophorus (ringed pipefish), 3220 nucleotides long. It is a transcript of the gene named twist-related protein 2-like, with no coding region annotated. The transcript has 5 exons. NCBI's taxonomy places the organism in Eukaryota, Metazoa, Chordata, Actinopteri, Syngnathiformes, Syngnathidae. The record is from RefSeq and is a predicted model, not a curated record.
GGAAGUCGUUCAUUGCUCUGUGUGCAUCAUUUGAACAAAUAAGCAAGUUUGAUGAUUAUUUUGUGAAUUAAGAAUGUUUAAUCUUGAAGAUUUCAUUUAUAUCCGUGUUCCAAUCCCCGCACGGCGCAGAGGUGGAAAACUGUCACUACUUGGGGCUUCCUUGAGUCGGGCGGAGCUACCAGGCGGGCUCAGAUGUUCCCUAUCAGCCACCUCUUCUAAAUUCCAUCAGCUGCGCCAGGAGGGUGCUGGAUUAUUUUCCUCCAUGGACGCCAUUCCAUGUCCUCCUUGUCUUCCUAGACAUUUUGUGGACAUAUGCUAUCUUUAUUCUACUCAUAUUUACCUGCCAAACUCACCCUCCUGCGAGUCCUGUAGCCCGCCUGACUCUCAGACUGUUUUGUGUUCAUUUUUGUGCCCUUUGUGCAUUUAGUCGUGGUGCUCCUUUUUUAUGCACCGUCGCCUUUAGUUCCUGUUCUUCUUGCAUUCUGAGACUCAUUAAAAGAGAUUAAUCACACCUGAGCUUGCCUUGUGCUGCAUCCUGGGAUCCGUCUUCGUUGCCACGAACCAAAGCAUGACAGAAUAAUCCAGCCAGUACCAUGGAUCCCACGGAACAAGAGCAGCUCCAGUUUGCCCUCAAAGCCCAGGGGCAGAUGAUUAGUCGCCACGAGCAAACGCUAGAGGACCUCUCCACGCAGGUGCGUGAAAUGCACGCUUCGUAUGACGGGUUCCUCCAUGGCCACAUCCGUGGAGGUCCCCCUGCCGCCAGGAAAUACCACUCCCUCAGUGAGGUAUUUUGUAAAGACAGCGGCAUCUUACUACCCCCCCACCGCCCAUACAACUGCGCCAUUGACCUGUUGCCCGGUGCACCGCUCCCCUCCUCACGGCUGUAUUACAUUUCCCAACCGGAACAGAAAGCCUUGGAGGAGUCCAUCUCCACCUCUCUCGCUACGGGGCACAUUCAGCCAUCUUCUUCCCCCCUGGCGGCAGGGUGUUUUUUUCAUCCAAAAGAAAGACGGAUCCUUGUGCCCGUGUAAAGAUUUUCAGUCACUCAAUACGAUCACAGUAAAAAAUGAACACCCCCUUCCUCUCCUUGAUUCUGCUUUUACACGGCUUCACACUGCAACCAUUUUCACGAAGUUGGAUUUGCGCAAUGCUUGCCACCUUAUUCGUAUCCGUAAAGUGGACGAAUGGAAGACCGCCUUUACUGUAACACGCCGUUGGGGCAUUUUGAGUACUGCGGCAUGCCUUUUGGUCUCACGAACGCCCCCGCGGUCUUCCAGUGCCUUAUCAACUAUGUCCUUUGUGGCAUGAUUGCUCGUUUUGUUUUCGUUUAUCUUGACGGCAUCCUUAUCUUUUCUUCAUCCACCAAACAACACCUGCAGCACGUCCAUCUUGUCCUCCAGAGACUAUUGGAGAACCGGUUGUUUGUGAAGCCUCAGAAGUGCACCUUUCAUUCACCUACGGUGUCCUUCCUGGGGUUUAUUGUGGAGAAGGGGUAACUUAGACCCGACCCUGCCAAGAUCCAGGCGGUGGUCGAUUGGGCCACUCCUACAUCUAGGAAGCUGUUGCAGAGGUUCCUGGGUUUCGCCAAGUUCUACUGCCGCUUUAUUUGGGACUUUAGUAAGGUUGCAGACCCUCUGAACAAGCUUACAUCUACUAAGGUUCCAUUUGCUUGGUCGCGGGGGCCGAUUCAGCCUUCCGGUGUCUCAAGUCCUUUUUCCACUUCUGUACCCGUAAUCAUCCAUCCUAAUCCCUCUCUCCCAUUUUUUUGUCGAGGUUGAUGCAUCUGACACUGGGUCGGGGCCAUUCUCUCUCAGCGUUCCAGGUCCAACCAGAGGCUGCACCCCUGCGCCUUUUUCUUCAGGCGUCCCUUGCACGCUGAACGCAAUUAUGAUGUUGGCAACGGGGAGCUGUUGGCGGUGGUCCUUUGCCCUGCAGGAGUGGAGGCACUGGUUGGAGGGAGCGACGCACCCGUUUGUCAUCUACACGGACCACAGAAACCUUACAUACAUCUGUUACGCUCAACGCCUCAACCCUUGCCAAGCCCAGUGGGCUCAGUUUUUCACUUGGUUUGACUUCACUCUCACCUAUUGACCAGGUCCACUCAAUAGCAAACCAGACACGCUCUCCCGGAUGUAUGCACUACAAGAUGAGGACCCUUCCCAGGAUACCAUCCUUCCCCAGUCCUGCAUAGUAGGAGGGGGAGAAGCGAGUGACCGACGCCAGUAAGGACACCCUACUCCCUGCUGGUUGCCACUCGGACCGACUAUUCGUUCCUCGGGCCCUGCGUCCGGAAGUCCUGACCUGGGCUCAUUGUUACAGGAUUGCCUGCCAUCCCGGAGCCAGGCGCACUGCCUUCCUGCUAUCUCAGCGCUUCUGGUGGCCCUCCUCCCACGCCGACACAAAGAGUUUUGUGGCUGUCUGCGGCAUCUGUGUCAGGAACAAAACCUCCAAACAGCCGCCGGCGGGGUUGCUUCAGCCACUCCCCAUCCCCUCCUGCCCCUGGUCGCACAUUGCAUUAGACUUUGUGACUGGUCUUCCCGCCUCUGGGGGGUUCACUACAGUCCUCACUAUAGUAGACAGGUUCUCCAAGUAUACUCACUUUGUCCCCCUCCGCAGACUUUCUUUGUCCUUGGAGACGGCCAAGCUUCUGGUGUAGCACAUGGUUCGGAUCCGUGGCAUUCCUGUUGAUGUGGUGUCGGACAGAGGCCCCCAGUUUGCCUCUGCUACCUGGAAGGCCUUUUGCAAGUCCUUGGGGUCUUCUGUCAGUCUUUCCUCCAGAUACCGUCCUCAGUCCAACAACCAGAUAAAGCGGGCCAACCAGGACCUGGAGUCAGCCUUAAGACUUGGGACUUCCUUGAGUCGGGCGGAGCUACCAGGCGGGCGCAGCUGUUCCCUAUCAGCCACCUCUUCUUAAUUCCGCCAGGAAGGACUGAUGUCUUCCGUUUGGAGCUAUUGACUUCUUUGGCUACCGAAGUUUGACCCUUAGUUCCACCUUCAGCAUCACCUUGAGCACCGUAACAAUCACCAUCAUCAACGUAGCUGCUCACAAAAAAAGGACUGCGGUGUUGUCGUCUGCGCUAUACCGCCAUUUUGACCAUUCUAGUCAUGUGGACUUUGGGAAAGGGAACUGUGGAGAAUAUUACUGAUAAGAUGGAAGUGGACCAAAGAAGCGGGGAAUAUUCAUGUUAAGCAAUGUAUGGGGCAAAUGUGUCUAUAGAGA